GAUGAACGCUGGCGGCGUGCCUAAUACAUGCAAGUCGAACGCGCAGCGAAAGGUGCUUGCACCUUUCAAGCGAGUGGCGAACGGGUGAGUAACACGUGGAUAACCUGCCUCAAGGCUGGGGAUAACAUUUGGAAACAGAUGCUAAUACCGAAUAAAACUUAGUAUCGCAUGAUACAAAGUUAAAAGGCGCUACGGCGUCACCUAGAGAUGGAUCCGCGGUGCAUUAGUUAGUUGGUGGGGUAAAGGCUUACCAAGACGAUGUUGCAUAGCCGAGUUGAGAGACUGAUCGGCCACAUUGGGACUGAGACACGGCCCAAACUCCUACGGGAGGCUGCAGUAGGGAAUCUUCCACAAUGGGCGCAAGCCUGAUGGAGCAACGCCGCGUGUGUGAUGAAGGCUUUCGGGUCGUAAAGCACUGUUGUAUGGGAAGAAAUGCUAAAAUAGGGAAUGAUUUUAGUUUGACGGAACCAUACCAGAAAGGGACGGCUAAAUACGUGCCAGCAGCCGCGGUAA
Molecule: ribosomal RNA, 513 nt
Filed under: uncultured bacterium
Lineage: Bacteria
Description: partial 16S ribosomal RNA
Rfam family: Bacterial small subunit ribosomal RNA
Source: RNAcentral